CAUCAUCCCUGGUACCGCCCCUAUGUGACAUGUGGCAUUUUGAUUAAGGGCUAGCAGUUGGGUUAUCCUCCUGUCUUUUGUGUACUUGCUGUUGGCCAGUGUUCAGUCAUGAGCGUGCAAGUGGCUGUAACCUUGCGCGGUGAGCGACCAUGUGUAUUGCAGCAUUGUACAGUUCUCUUGGGCUGAUGGCAUGUCCAGGGGUUUUCCAAUGAUUCCAAAUGAAGCCUAACAAACAUCAAGCAACAUGACUGCACUGCUGCUCUGUUUUUUUUGUUUGUUUGUUUGUUUUUUGUUUUGUUAUAGUUAUAACC
Labeo rohita (rohu) is the source of this 311-nucleotide long non-coding RNA. RefSeq lists it as uncharacterized. The record is from RefSeq and is a predicted model, not a curated record. Lineage: Eukaryota; Metazoa; Chordata; Actinopteri; Cypriniformes; Cyprinidae. The transcript has 3 exons.